This 2836-nucleotide long non-coding RNA is filed under the name Homo sapiens (human). RNAcentral's name for it is "HSALNT0224215". The record is from RNAcentral. Lineage: Eukaryota; Metazoa; Chordata; Mammalia; Primates; Hominidae.
GUCUGCUUGAUGGUCACCAGGAGAUUUUUGCUCUCCUCAAUUAACAUUUAAGAAUAUGGAGGAGCCAGGCACAGUGGCUCACACCUGUAAUCCCAGCACUUUGGAAGGGAGAGGCAGGCAGACGGCUUAAGCUCAAGAGUUUGAGAUCAGCAUGGGCAACAUGAUGAAACCCCAUCUCUACAAAAAACACAAAAAUCAGCUAGGUAUGAUGGCAUGCACCUGUAGUCCCAGCUACUGAGGAGGCUGAGGUGGGAAAAUUGUUCAAGCCUGGUAAGUUAAGGCUGCAGUAAGCUGUGAUAGCGCCACUGCACUCCAGCCUGGGCGACAAAGUGAGAUCCUGCCUCAAAAAAAAUAGAAUAUAGAGAGCCUGGCAUAGUGGCUCAUGCCUGUAAUCCCAGCACUUUGGGAGGCCAAGGUGGGAGGAUCUCUUGAGCAGUUCAAGAUCAGCCCGGGCAACUUAGUGAGACCCUGUGUCUAAAAAAAAAAAAAAAAGUGAAAUUAGCCAGGUGUAGUGGUGCUAGCUAGUGAUCCUAGCUACUCCGGGGGCUGAGGUGGAUGGCCUGAGCCCAGGAGGUCGAAGCUGCAGUGAGUCUAUAUCGCACCACUGCACUCCAGCCUGGGCAACACACCAAGACCCUGCCUCUCACAAAACAGAAAGAAUAUGGGAGAGGAGGGAUUUGGGAGUCAACCUCAUGUCCAAAUCCAAUCCCACCACCAAUUCACCGGUGAGAGGUGAAGUCAGCUGGACUUCCUGAGUCAAGUGGGGACUUGGAGAACUUUUCUGUAACUAGCUACAGGUUUGUAAAAUGGACCAAUCAGCAGGACAUGGGCAGGGACAAAUAAGUGAAUAAAAACUGCCCCCACCCCCACACCCCCCUACACCACCAGCCUGCAGCAGGCAACCCACUUGGGUCUCCUUCCAUGCUGUGGAAGCUUUGUUCUUUUGCUCUUUAGGUUCGUGCCAACUUUAAGCUGUAACACUCAGGGCGAAGGUCCGCAGCUUCAUUCUUGAAGUCAGCGUAGACCACGAACCCACCGGAAGGAACCAUAUUCCGGACACACCAGGACCCUGGGAAUCCCUUCACUGCCUGAGGGACCUGUCCUAGGUGCCAGAGUGAGCAGGGAGGAACACAGGUGUGUCUCGGUGGCUGGAGAACCCAGCCAGGACGACGCCCAGUUUGGAACUGUACCGAAGCUGAGCCCUGCCUUGCACGGCUGAAGCUUAGCCACAGAGGCGGAACUUCCCUGGCUUUUCCUGGAAGCGGAAGCCGUGAAAUGGCCAAAGCACAAGACAGGGUGGUGCAGUUUUGCUCCCGCGCGAUCACCGUUGGCCACGCGCCUCGGUCUCUAUCUGUAAAAGAGAUCCGCAUCUCUGGUAUUUGAUGCUGGAGAGAAAAAUGUGCGGCCUCCGCCCAACCUUGAGUUUCCUGCUCCACCGCGCCCUCUCGUGGUUAACUGGACUCACGGCUUUCUCGCCCCCAACCCCAACCACCUAAAUUGCGGUUCUCAACCUUGGCUGAGCGUGGGAAUCACCCGGGGACCUGCGAAACACCGAUGCCUGGGUACCGGACUCUAUCCGCGCCUCCCCCUGCGAGAGAUUCUGACUUAAUUGGCCUGAUGCAAUCCGGGCGUCCCCUGGGGAUCACAGUGUGCAGUCAAGGCUGGGAAACACUGACCCACCUCUGCUCUGCCAGGGAUCCUGCGUUUGGCUGACGACAUUUCUCUUGUCAGAGCCCACCGGACUCUGCUUUCCGGAUAUAAAGGAUCCUUUUGCAAGUCUAAACACCUCAAUGUCGGCAUCACACCCUCAAGCAUCCACCCUCUACUCCUGAAAUACUCAUGAUUAAUAUGUGCUUUUAAUUUCUAUUGCUGGAGAAAAUGUUUCUGAAAAAUUGCACUUACAUAAAUAGAUAAGGCAUAUUAUUUGUAUUAUCUGCUGACAACAUCCGUGAUGUGUGCAUGUGUGUGCUGCGUAUGCACAGAGCUUCCUCACUAUAAUUUCAGGAGCUUCUCAGGGCCUUAGGUCAGAGAUCCGCUAGCCGUGCCAGGGCACUCUGGCCCUAAUGUUAAAAAUAGACCAUGGCUUUAGCCACUCCUGUCAGUAUCUUGUCUCACUGCCCAGUGCUCCAUUCAUCAGGAGAAAUUCCUGAGCUGCUGCCCAGCCAGUCAGCCAGGCCCAACUGAAAUUCCCAGGGGGCCUGUGAGGGGGGUCACACGUACUCUUAGCUUCUAGGCUGGACCUCAGGACUCCUAGCAGAAGGAUAUCCACUGUGGCCCUGCGACCUUGUCAAUCGUUUGAUUCACAGCCUCUCAGUGACACUGGCACUCAAUGAGAUGGGCUCCUUUCAUGACACGGUCACCACCAUCAUCACAAUCUCCAGCAUUUUUGGGUUCCUACUAUGUGUACAGCAGUUUUCAGGAACAUUUAUUAUUUAUUUAUUGAGACAAGAGUUUCCCUCUGUCACCCAGGCUGGAGUGCAGUGACAUGAUCUCAGCUCACUGCAACCUCAGCCUCCUGGGCUCAAACGAUUCUUGUACCUCAGCCUCCCAAGUAGUUGGGAUUACAGGCACUCACCACCACACUAGCUAAUUUUUGUAUUUUUAGUAGAGAUGGGGUUUCGCCAUGUUGGCCAGACUGGUCUUGAACUCCUGACCUGAAGUGAUUUGCCCACCUCGGUCUCUCAAAGUGCUGGGAUUACAGGUGUAAGCCUCCAUGCCUGGCCUAUUUUAAAGGAACUUAUAAACAUUAGAAAAUAGUGUCUUUGUCAUCCAAAAAUGUAUAGUCCAGUGGGAGAGAGGGUAAUAACAUGGGGACAUGUGAGAAAAUAAAGUUCUG